GUGCCAGCAGCCGCGGUAAUACCGGCAGCCCGAGUGAUGGCCGAUCUUAUUGGGCCUAAAGCGUCCGUAGCUGGCCGACCAAGUCUACCGGGAAAUCCACCCGCCCAACGGGUGGGCGUCCGGUAGAAACUGGCCGGCUUGGAACCGGAAGGCUCAGAGAGUACGUCCGGGGUAGGAGUGAAAUCCCGUAAUCCCGGACGGACUACCGAUGGCGAAAGCACUCUGAGAAGACGGCUUCGACAGUGAGGGACGAAAGCUCGGGUCUCAAACCGGAUUAGAUACCCCAGUGUCC
RNAcentral lists this ribosomal RNA (292 nucleotides) under uncultured bacterium. RNAcentral's name for it is "partial 16S ribosomal RNA". It matches the Rfam family "Archaeal small subunit ribosomal RNA", at positions 455 to 747 of the family's 1478-position model. The record is from RNAcentral.